GGAGGGUGGUGACAGGGCCACAGAGCUCCACAGAUGAUCCCCUCCUGACAAUUCAUGGGUGAUUUCCUGAGACAGAAUUGCAGACAUGGCACUGCCAGUUUCAGUAGUGGAAGACGUAACUUUGAUCAUGGAUUCUAUUAUGGGAGGAAUUCAGACAAGGUACAGUGGGGGUGACUCAUCUCUGAGGGGCUGCCUCAAACAGGUAGAGAAUGGAACAGCAGGGCCUGGCUCUUCACUUUUCACCCGAUGGCUUUUCCCUCACAUGCCCGGCACCUGGACUGAGUCAACUCAAGCCAGCGCUUAGUUGGGAGGGUUGACCAGAAACCAAAACGUGCUUUCACCCUAGGAUUUGCACUUCCCAUGGAAUGGACGCUGGCUACCUACAGACUGCAACCCAAGGGGGAGCACCCGAUAAACAUGUGAGCUGCAGAAACCAGGUGGAAGCUGUAGAGACUAAAAUGGCUACACAGCAUCACUACUGCCAGGAAGACACAGCCAUCCCUGAUUCAAGGGGAGGGCACUUAGAACCCCAUAUUUGAUGUGCUGGAUGGCCAAGAAUCAGUGAGCACUUUUUAAAGUUGCCACUUGCAGCUGCACUCACUAGAUUGUCCCUCCACGGCUUAAUAUCACAAUGAAUGAAAGCAUGUGUCAGCGUUCCUGGAAAAAAAAAAAAAAGGUUUCCAAAAUGCACAGCACUUCUCCAAUAUCUUCAGGAGCUCGGCAGAGAACUGUGCAGGCACAAAGGAAUGCCAGAUCACAGAUAUUAUUGAUUACUCUAGGAGGGUCAACCUAAGAUUAGCUGUCAUCCAGUCCCUUGGAAUGCUGAGUAGCUCAGCGAUUACCCGUAAGAAGACAGACAACAGACAGUCAACUGUGGUAUGUUUUGUUGUUAAGAAGGAGGAAAACGAGAAUAUUGAUUGGUUCAUUCAGCUCAAGUGGCUAUUGUUCACCUUGAAGAUACACAUUUCACAAAGACAUUUUCUCACCCUCACCUGCUAAGGAGGUCACUAUGGACAAAGAAAAUAAACAACCAUGUUCAACCAACUGCUCUCGUCUUUGAAACAACUGUCUUGUCCAUUUGGUGUGUCUCACUAAAGCAAUCUUCAAAAUAGUCAACAUGUGGAAGCAACCCGAGUGUCCACCAAUGGAUGAAUGAGAAACAGGAUGUGAGAUACAUCCCAUGGAAUAGUAUUCAGCCUUACAAUGGAGAAUAUUCUGACCCAGGCUACAACAAGGAUGGACCUGGUAAAUGUGAUGCUCAGUGAAAUAAGCCAGUCACAAAAAGACAGAUACUGUAUGAUUCCAUUUACAUGAAGUCCCUGGAGGAGUCAAGUUCAUAGAGACAGAAAAGACAACGGUGGUUGCCAGGGGCUGGGAGAGGGGAAAGGGGAGUUAGUGCCGACAGAGUUUCAGUAUUGCAAGAUGAAAAGAGUUCUCGAGAUUGGUUGCACAGCAGUGUGAAUGUACUUAUCACCAUUGAACUUAAAAAAUGGUUACGACUGGCUGGACCCAUGGCCAAGUGAUUAAGUUCACCUGCUUCGAUUUGGGUGCCCGGGGUUUCACCAUUUCGCAUCCUCGGCUUGGACUGGCACGGCUCAUCAGGCCAUGCUGAAGCUGCAUCCCUCAUAGCAGAACCAGAAGGAUCUACAACUAGCAUAUAUAACUAUGACCUGGGGGGCUUUGGGAAGAAGAAGAAUAAUAGAAAAAAGAUUGGCAACAGAUGUUAGUAAAGAUGCCAAUCUUUAAAAAAAAUGGUUAAGAUGGUAAACAAGUUCCAUGUAUUUUAACAAAAUUAACAAUUUUUUUAAAAAGGCAUCAGAGUUACUAGUCCCUCUUUCUGAAAUCAUUUAUGCUUAUACUCCUUCCUCCGUUUGAGAUCUCUACUUAAAUGCCCUCCACCACCCUCUGCCUGGACCAUGUGCUAUGUUUCCUUAUAACUGUCAUCAACACCUGCAAUCUUCUAGGUUGUGAGUUCAUUGGCUUAUUUCCUGUCUCCCUACUUGGGAACAGAAGCUCUGUGGACCAGUACCUGAGUGGGUCACUGCUUUCUCUGCUACAGGCCAGAAUAAUGGCCUUCCUCGGGCCUGGACUCAAUAGGGAGCUACUGAAGGCACAGCAACCUUUGGGUUAGCACUUGGGAAACUCCAGGCUUUCUGGACAGCACACAUGAGGGUAAAUGACUGCAGUGCUUGCUGCUAUAAUUUCCAAUAAUUAAUUUAUAGAAAUCUGAAGACACCCCUUCGUCCCAAAGAGAAGGGACUAGUCUCCUAACACUGUUACCAGAUGGCCACAGUUUGGACAGGGUUAUCAAGUGGGGUCCUUGAGUGCACAUGUAUCCUGCUAGGAAGGAUUUAAAAAGGAGCUCUCAUACAUUUCCACUCUGAUAUCUUUCUGCUCAUAGUAGCUCUUUCUUCAAUUGUGGGACUAGCUAAUAUUGAACCAUACCUCAGGGGCAGGGGGGAAGCAACCCAGAAUUCAUUGAAAUAAGUGUUGUGAUAAAGAACAGUGCUCAGUGGCAUAUCACCACAGCAAUGCAAUGCUCAUCAUUUGCCAAAAUAAAUGCACUCAUGGAGACCCAAAUAAAGAACCGACACACACUGACUAAAUUAAAACAAAUGCAUGAAUAGUGGGAGAGACACUGGCGUCUUUCCUUCAGGCAGGAUGCUGCCCCCUCUGACACUUGCAGAAACUCUGGGAUAUCACCUCUAGUCCUGCCCUUUCACCCACUUUUAUGAGGAAAACCUGCCAUUCUUGUUUCUUGCAGUUAGAACAGCUAUCGGAUAGGGGGUCACAGAGCUUUGCCAUUUCUCUUUCCCUCUCUACGUGGAUGGAUUUGCGGGCUUUUGUGUGGCUUAAUGGGCUUACAGGAGGCACAGGGAGGAGAGAAUUUCUGGAGAGAAAACUACAGGAGGAAAGGCCAAGAGCCGUGCUGCCGCCGUUCACAUUUGGGGGUCUGAGUCUCAGUCCCUUCUGUGCCUCAGUCCAUAGAACCUCAUAUUGUCCCCUAAGAAUAUUAAGGUGGAGACUAAAAAAUACGGACAGUAAGAAUAAUAAUACCUAUUAUUACAGUGUGCAGCAACGAGCGCGUGUGACUUUGGCUAUGCAAGGCAAUGCCUAAAAUCCCCUUGGAAUGACACAGUGGGAUGUGGAAUCCAAGUGAUUACACUUCAGGAGAUUUUCCUAGGGUGCAUUCUCAAUGGGGGUGAUUUUGCCCUAAAAGGGCAAAAAAGUGGUUCUUCGUGGGUGAAAAAACUCACAUUCUUGUAUCUUCCAAGCCCAGAUAUCCAUAGUGCACAUAACCAUGUAUACAGUUAUUUGUUGUGUUAAGAUUUCAUGGAGUGGGUGCUGGUUAAAAAAACGAUUUGAAAAGGCUGCUUGGGUGGGGGUGGGGGUAUGAUGGUUAGUUUUCUGUGACAACUGGACAGGGCAGUGGAGUAACCAAGCUUCUGACAGUUGUUGCAUUGUACUAGCCUUAAAGAUGAACACCAAGUUCAUUUAACUUUGAAGAAACUGACCAUUGUAAUAUUGUCCAAAAAGACCCUUAUUUUAUAGAGUGAUUCAUUGGGUUUCUUAAAAGAUAAUAACCUGAUAAAGAUCUGUUUUCACUAGGUUCAGUAAGCACUCUUCUAUGAGCUUUCCAUAGAUAUGAAAUUACCUAAUAUUCAUAAUAAAGUCAGAGGUAUGGACAUACCCAGGACAAUCCCAGCCCUCAUCUCUAAAGGGAACUUCUAAAUGGUGUGCCCUCCAGCAAGGCCUCUCACCCACUUCUGAGCCUGGGACACAAUGAAGAUCAGAGGUUUUCUCGACAGUAUCUUGGCAUUUACAUUUGUGGUCGACAUCUCUCAAAGCCUAAGACAGAGAUCUUUGAGUCCUUCCACAAGGAACAGGGAGGAGAUGUGCUGGGGAAGAAGGUGACUUGCUUGACAAUCAUCUGGGAAAAAGUGAAGGACACGGUUUUUUCUAAGAAUGGAUGAAUAUCCAUGAGGUGCAUGUCACACGAGACAUGCAGGCUUGAUUCAAACAACCCUGCAGCCAGGUCCUGAACAUCUUUUCUAGAAGUGUGGGAAAAAUGAGUAAUGUGCCCAAGGUCUGAAAGAUCUUCAGGAUACAUCGCUGCCAACCAGGAUGCUUAUUUUCAGCGUUACAGAAUGAUCUCUUAUGAUGACUGACAAGUGGAUUCACCACAUCCACAAAUAAUAGUAUAUAAAGAGGUAAAAAUUCAGAAUUUCACCCAUAGGUAACCCCUUCUGAGCUCCUUCAGAAGAGGAAACAACUGCCAAAGAGAUGAAGAUUCUACAGUUCACCUUUGGACUUGCUCUGGUUGGCACUGACCAGAUACCUCCAUCAAAUGAAGACCUCGCAAAGGAAUCUGAGAAGAAGGUCACCUGUGUGUCUGUGUGUGCGUCUGUGUUUGUGUGUGUCCCUUUUGGGGUUGUUUUAUGUGUAUACAAAUUUAUGUGCACCUAAGCCUAGCCAUCUUCCUCCAACUCAGAAGCACUCUAUUAAUUGGCUGCUUACACAAUCCUGCUGUACUUGUCUUAUAUUGUCUCUGUAUUGUCUAUAUUAUCUAUUAAUUGGAUCCUUAUGCAUUUCAACCGUACUUGCAUAAGAUGGAGAACAAGCCAGAGAAUUGCUGGACUGGAGUUCUGCUUUGAUAACAGAACUGAAACUAUUUCAGAAAUAUCUCUAUUUCUCGUUUUACAGUUGACUUGGGUUUUUACAUUAUUUUAUAAAUCCUGCUUUGUCCAAUAAUGAUAGACAGUGCUGGUGGAAAAAGAAAGGAAAACUCAUAAUGGAUGAUGUCAGAGAAAAUAAAAAAGAAUGACUGAAAUUUCUUUUUAGUUUUCUUUUUAGUUUUCAGGAGAAUGGAAAAGGUCUUACAUAGCAUUCAGUAAUAGAGUGAAGAUCAAUGAGAAUGGACCAUUAGAGAAGUUUGUCCAUAGUGUUGAUUUUUGACACUGUAGACAGCAUUAUCAACUUGAAAUUUCUGACCAGGUAAGUAAAAAUAACACAGAAUAAAAUCACUCAUAAAUGUUCAACCCUGAGAGAAGGUCUUUGUUACUUGCAUGUUUGCACUGAAAGAUCUUGAUUAUGUUCAAGAACGUGACUCUCUGAGUUGUGUGCUUGGAAGAGUCUUUGAAGUGGUGGCGUAAGUUCCACCACCAUCCUCUAGAGAAUGUCCUGGAGAAUCUCAUGGAGAGCAAAGUGGCACGGUUGCUCUAAUGGAACCAUCUCAUUCAAAAAAGAGGGACAAAAGCAGCCAAAAGGGUAUAUUUUCCUCAAACCCUACAGAUCCUGACCACUAGCCUGAAUCUUUCAUGCGGAAUUUGUAAAACGUGGUUCACUUCUAGGGCAACUGUGUUCCAGAAGAGUGUGAGCAGGUGGAUAACGCAAAAUGAUCUCUUCCCUGAAGAACUUACUUAUAGCAAUUUUUAAUCAUUAAUAAAUUCAUUAAAGCCUUCAUUGCUUCAAGGAUUAUUUAUGGAAUGCACACCAUAUUGCAGGCAUUUUAUUAAGAAUUCAAAUGACUUAUUUCACUUAGCAUCAUACCCUCUAGAUGCAUGCAUGUUGUCACCAAUGACAGGGUUUCGUUCCUUUCCAUGGAUGACUUAUUAGUUGUUCCAUGUAUAUAUAUACCACAUAUUCUUUAUCCAUUCAUCUAUUGAUGAACACACAGGUUCUUUUCAUAUCUUAGCUAUUGGAAAAAAUGCUGCAGUGAACAUAGCAGUGCAUAUAUCUUUUGAAUUUAUGUUUUUGUUUUCUUCAGAUAAAUACCCAGAAGUGUAAUUUCUGGAAGGUAUGGCAAUUCUUUCUUUAAGUUUUGGAGAAACCUCCAUGCUGUUUUCCAUGGCGGCUGUAUCGAUUUACAUUCCCACUAAGAGUGCACGAGGGUUCUCUUUUGUCCACAUCCUCACUAACACUAGUUAUUUGUUUUCUUUUUGAUAACAGCCAUUCUGACAGGUGUGAGAAUGUGGAUUUGAUUUGCAUUUCCCUGAUGAUGAGUGACAUUGAGCAUCUUUUCAAGUGUUUGUUGGCCAUCUGUAUGCCUUCUUUGGAAAAGUGUCUAUUUAGGCCCUCGGCCCAUUUUAUAAUCAAAUUUUUGAUUUGGGGUAUUAUGUUGUAUAAGUUCUUUAUAUAUUUUGGAUAGUAACCCCUUAUCAGAUAUGACAUUUGCAGGAAUCUCCUCCCAUGCAGUUGGUUGAUUUUUUGUCUUAUUGCUGAUUUCCUUCACUGUGCAAAACUUUUUUUUUGAUAUAGCUUCAUUUGUUUAUUUUUCUUUUGUCACCCUUGCUUGAAGAGAUAUAUCCAAAGAAAUAUUGCUCAGACUGAUGUCAAAGAGCUUUACUACCUAUGUUUUAUUCUAGGCAUUUUAUGGUUUCAGGUCUUACAUUAAAUCUUGAAUCCAUUUUGAGUUUGUUUUUGUAUAUAGUGUAGGAAAGUGGUCCACAACCAUUAGUCUCUCCAACAAGGGCAAAUAUUCCAAUGUGCUUACUUAGGGUUUUUUUUAAACAUAUUCUUAAAAUUAGGAAUCUUUCAUAUAAAUACAUGUAUUUUGAAAUUUAUAUAAAGUUAUAAAUUAAAAAAAAGAAGUGAAAUGAGGAAGAGAAGAUGAAGAAACUUUUUUGGGGGGAGGCUUUCAUUGGUCAAAAUAGAGUCAGGGAUAAUGAUUUUAAACUAAUAACAAUACUGACUGUGAAAAUCGAUAAUAAUAGCAUAAAUGAUGUGGAAAGAGGGGACCAAAAAAUGAAAAAUGAUGACAGUGUGGGAGACUAAACAGUUAUACCAGAAAUAUGACAUGUGUAAGAUGCUUUUGAAGGUGGAAUGAGCCAUUUUUAUUUUAUUUUUUUAAAUAUAUUUUCAGUUCAGAGUGUUGCACUGCCUUUCACUUUUCCAUAAAUGCUAAGCAUGUUCCCAGGAAUCUAUCAGAGUUUUUUUUCUUUAAGGGAAGUCUUUUUUUUUAUUUAAGAUUGGCACCUGAGCUAAGAUCUGCUGCCAAUCUUAUUUUUUUUUCUCCUCCCCAAAGUCCCCCCCAGUACAUAGUUGUAUAUUCUAGUUGUAG
Equus caballus (horse) is the source of this 7060-nucleotide long non-coding RNA. The record is from Ensembl. NCBI's taxonomy places the organism in Eukaryota, Metazoa, Chordata, Mammalia, Perissodactyla, Equidae.